UACUGAUUUCUACACCAUUUUGAAGGCUGCUGUGCAGUUAGGCUGGAUGCCAGUGCUGCAAAAGGAGAGCCUGAAUCUUGGCAUGGCCAACCCCCAGUGGGCAGCUUCAGCAUGUGAGUGGUCACACUGUGCUCUUCCAGGGCACAGUCUGCAGAGGUUCCCAGAGGAGGAGGCUCAUGCACUGUAGUGGAGCAUUAGCAAUGUGUAAAUCCAAGUGUUUUCAUGCUGCCAGCUGAAGCCAACCUAACACGGGCUGUGUGUGCAGCAUGUAAAUAACCCCCUCAGCGCUCUGCACUGUGCUAAGGCCACCCUUACAGCAAGGGCUGGGCAGAAAAAAGAGCUGCCCUGUCAGUUUUUGUGGACUCUUUCAAUAAAAAUACGGGGGACACGGCCUCUAAGGGUGUGACAGCAACAGGAGGAAGAACUUGUAGAGGGACCAUGAUUCUGGAUGUGCUUUCCCAGCUGUCAUGGCCCUAAGGGAUGGGAGACCUCAGUGCCUUUCUGCCUGGAAUGAUAAUGCCAGCAGGAAGAUAACAAAUGAGAUGAAGCAUCCAAAAUGCCUUAUUAGCCUUUGAUGGGAUGGGAGGAGCUGCCAGCAGAAGCAAAAUAUAUACCACCUGCUUUUCAGCUGCUUUGUGUGUGGAAGUGCAGUGCUGGAGCAACGUGGAGGGAGCACAAGGUCUAGGACAGCUUUUGGGAUGCAUUACAAUGGAAGAGACCCCAAACAACUGAAGACAGAGGCUUUGUGUGUGCCCUGCCCAGGCUGACUUGCGUGUUGGCUGGGACAGCGGCACAGCACAAGCUCAGGCUGCCUCUCUCCUCUCCUUGACUGCUCUAGGACACAAAAGUGUUCCUUUGUUUAUGCUCUCCUCCACGCCUCCAUGCUGGGAAUAUACGGAUGGGAGUGUUUGGAGAUGAUUUCACACUUCACAGUGUCCUGCAGUGAGCCAGCCUUCCAGGGGUGGCUGCAGGGGUUGAAGCAGUUCCAGGAGCACUGCCCAGCGAGGAGAUGUCAGCAAGGGCUGGCACUGGAAGGCACAGUUCCCAUGCUGAUCUCUCUGCCAGCCCCUGCUGCUAAAGCCAGAUUGAGCUGGACAUGGGAGCAUCAGACUGGGCUUUUAGAGAGGAUACAUGGAGCUCUCUCUGUCCUCUGACUUCUGAUCUCCAGCCAUGGAAGGUAGAAAUACAAAUCAGUUACGCACUGCUGUUCUUUCCAGACUUAUUGGAAAUUCAUCAGUCAUGCUGUCAAAAAAAGCUUUCUUCAAGGCAAACACAGAUUCUGUGGUUUGGUUAAAAUACAGUAAGACCUACAAAUAGAGGUGAGGCUUUAAAGCUGAAGGACCUUGAGUAUCAAGGAACAUGUGACAAAUCAUAUGAAUUGCAGCAGUGAUACUUAUUACAGAUAGAGAGCUUAUUUUAUCAGAUUAGGAAUCUAAGCCUUAAACUAUUCGUGUGGUCUCAUAUUUUCUCAGCAGCUAACAAAUAUCUUCAAAAUAUGAGUUUUAUGACUGCCUGUUAUCAGAGGCUGUUUACUAUUAUAUCUAUUAUCUCUAUUGUGUUUAAUGGAUUAAAAAGGGGUGGACCUUAACUCAUUCCUAUUAAGUGAAUUGGUGAAACUGCUCAGAUAUAAAGGGGCUGCUCCUCUGUCUUGGCUCCUUAAACCCUGCACUAGAAGUGUAUUUUCUCACACAGAUCUCAUCAGCCAUAUGGCUCCUGUCCUCCAACUCUGUGGACUGCUCAGUCCUUGGAAAAUCUAUCAUUUCUUAGAGUAAGCAAUUUAAUAAUUUUAGUCACAUGUUAUGCUCUUGAAUAGGGCAUGCAAUGGAUUUAAUUUAACAGUAAGGUGUUCAUAAGGAAAUAUUCAGCAAUAAAGCAUUGCAGGAGUUGUCAGAGCCAAAUAAAAGGAAUAAAUGCAAGUUUGCUCAUAUAUAUGUAGCUGAGUGUUUUAGUUCAGCCUAUUCUGUAUCUAUAGAGAGUGUCUCAAAUUAGAUUCUUUCCCAGAGCACACUCAUGGUUCUGCUAUGUCUACUUUUCAUCACUUCAGCACAUGGCAGGACAGAUCUGACAGGACUGUCUUCAAACUGGUCUUUAUUCAGAAGAGAUUGCAGAAAUCAUGACGGAAACCCACUUGAAAACUCCUUCUACUGCAGACGUUGCCAUCCCAUGGGAAGGAAAGUAUGUCAGGAAUUCUUCUCCCAUCUCAUGUGAUUAUGGGACAAGCCUCUAAAUGCAUGUCUCACCAACCCUAACUUGAGGGUACACUGCAACCAUUAGUUGUGCCAAACAUGAUGCCUCAGGAAGGCUGACCUGGAAAAGAGACUGGACAGAGCUGGAGAGUAAAGCAGCUAUUUAUUGAAAGGCCUCUAGGAUUACACCUUGGGCUGGACAAGAGCCUGACCAUGGCUACACCCAAGGUGGACUAAGAAUGGUCAUAAAAUGGACAAAUGGUCAGGAGGUCUCACGCUUUUAUAAGUUUUGGUCCAUUUGCAUAUUGGGGUUUAAUUGCCCAAUUACAGCUUUGGGUUGUGAGGUCUCAUCCUUCUUGUUUUCUCUCUUCAGCCCAUUGUUGUUUGUGCUUUUGGGCCUGAAAACUUGUAGCCAUUGUCCUUGGUCUUCAUCAGGAAAAGGAUUUGUUUUGUCUCCCUGCUCUGUGCAUAGAGCUGAGUGACCCUGGAUGUGAGGCUCAGAACUGCACCCCUGGGCAUCACAGAAUUGAAAAACAUGAAAGCUACAACUUAAGGCAUCAGACAUGCAACAUCAAAAAGGUCCUGCUGCAUUGCCCAGCAUUUACUGCAAUCGCUGCAUCUGUACCUGACUGCAGGAUUUCCCAGGGCACAGCCUGGGAACAGCACUGUAAGCCAAGUGGCAACGAACACUUACAGGGAAGUAAAUUUGAAGGUCCAGUGCAAGAGCCCAACAGGUGGUUACUGAGUGUGAACACCUUUGUGCCUGGCACCAGCUGGGUCUGCUCAGCGUCUUCUGCUGAGAACAAAAGCCAGAUUCUGCUGAUGCCCUUAUGGGACACACUGGAUGAAGACUGAAGAGAAUGAGCAGAUGCCAACGUUUACUGUACACUGAACUUGACAAAUGUGCAAAUUCUGUGGUUGCUGAGGUUCAGGGGACUCAGACUGUGGUUUGUCUUAGGAGGGCCCUCGUAACCAGAGCUCUCCCAAAGGCGUGCGUGUAAAGGAGUGGAUCUGCCCAUCAUAUCCAUGGUUUUGGCCAGGCUGCCCUGAGUUAAUCAGCAAACCUGGAUACCAGAACUGCACGGGAAAAGCUCUGUAACCGCUGCCACUGGGCUCUCAUCCAUUCCCUUCUCUGCACUCUGAUAUUCCCUGGAUUAACUUGGCCAAUUCAGACAAGAGCCAGCCACCUUCUGCCUGGAAUCCAGCCCUGCCCUUGCCCAGCCCCCUCCCUUCUCCACCAGCCAGGCUCCCUGGCUCCUUUACCCCUGUCACCAGGAAAGCAGGAGCGCUUUCCCAACAUCCCACAGCCAUUAGACAGAGCAGCCCUGAGCCUUGGUGCCUUCCAGAGCACCAUUUUUGUUCCUGCCCACAGCUGCAGGAGGUGGGCAGUGUUUGGAGACAAAUCACAGCAUCUUGUGCCAAAUGCCUCAAUACCCAUCAGGAUUUCCCACUGCCCAUCCCAGUCCACAGGGCUACCAGAGGGGCACAUCUUCCUUAGCAUUACAUCAGUCUUCAACUGUGCAUGAAUUAUACAGGACAGGGUUCUCACAACUGAAUUAAGGAUUAUUUUAUAGGCUAAGAAACUGAAAUAUCUAUGAAAUAUAUAUAUAGUUUUUAAUGCCAAAUGCUUUAAUACUGAUGAGAAUGCCUUCUUUGAUGGAGGAUUUUAGCUAUAUGAUCACUACUAAAGCAUUCAAAGCAGCAGCUCCUGGGAAGAGUAAUUGACAGGGCUUGUUGUAAGGAAUUUUAGCUAAGUAGAAUAAGAGAUAAUGGCAUGUGGUUAAGCUAUUUAGGCAGGAUAUCAGAAGACAAUUCAAAGUGAGAUCUAUUAGACAAUGAAAAUAUUGUCCAAGGCAAGCGAUAAAAGCCACAUCACUUAAAAUAUUUAAAGCUGGUUUGUUUAAAGCUCUAGAGAGGAUAAUUAUAUUGAGUCAACCUCCAUUCACAGGGAAUAGAAUCUGUUUCUAUUCACGAGUAUGCAAUAAAUUACUUAACUGGCCAUUGUAGCCUCUAACUGUGGUGACUCUAUGGGUUUUCUUCUCUUAGGGGGAUGCUGUUUCACUCUAUACAUUUGUUUUCAGAGAGGAAAACAAUUACAAAAAGGAAUGAAUCUACAUUCUUAGUCCCCAGAUCGCUGCUGUACUCCAGUGUACAUACAUGCAGUGGUGCAGUAAGGCUGAAAAAUUAGUAAAAUAAACUAUUCCAGAGUGUCACAGGUCUGCUGGAUCCUGUACUCCCCACCAAAAUUAUCACUAUGAAGCCAAAAGUAUUAAUCACAUGCAACUGAAUUUCUACCUCACCUUCAGAUUUCUCUGAAACAUAAACAGCUCCUCCAUAGGUGGGUUUAUAAAAUCCUGUUUUGCAGUAUCUGAGGGAUUAUCUUUGGUACAUUCUCCUUCAGCACAUUUAAUCAACUCAUGUGAAAGUGCUUGUUUCUUUUCCAUCAUUUUGAAUAUCAGUUCUACUUAGGGAUGAUUACAACUUAGUCCCUGUGAAAUUAUUACACUGAUGGAGGAUGUUCACUAAAGGGGUUUUUAAGUUUUCAGCGCUGAGCCCCACCUAGACGUGCUCAGAUGGUUUUGCAAUUGUUCCUUGGAGGAAAUCUGUAAGGACAUUCAUUAGUGGGGCACUGGUGGGUUCCUGUCUGAGAACAAUGACAAUUUUAAUUGCAGAACAGGAACUGUUUGAUUCUUCAGACAAUCCUGGUACUGAGGGCUCGUAUCCAAAUGGAAGGUUUCAACGCAGAUGUCUGUUAAUAAAAUAUUUCCUACUUAACUUUGAUAUGGAAAUAAACCAGCCAGUCUGAUUAAAUCCCUGAAAAUCCUUAGGGCAAAAAGCAAAACAAAACAACCCUCCCAACCCUCAGUUUUAACAGUACAUCAGAGUUACAUCAGGGUUUCAACCGUAAGGAAAUUUUCCAAUAGAUUUAAAUGCCACCAAGAAAGAGGAUCAACAUUUGCUACGGUGUGAUCAAAUGUUCUCAGCAUGAUGUGAAACCGUCCAUAUAAAUGUCUGAUCUUUAUAAUUUAAUUUAUAUAUUCAUAAUUCUAGAAAGACUUAUGUUCAUAUUUAACUAAACCCUAGCAGCAAUCCACUGAUCAUAAUGAGAUU
Molecule: long non-coding RNA, 5297 nt
Organism: Hirundo rustica (Barn swallow)
Lineage: Eukaryota; Metazoa; Chordata; Aves; Passeriformes; Hirundinidae
Exons: 3
Source: RefSeq, a predicted model, not a curated record